UACAUGGGGUGCAAACGUUGCUCGGAAUUAUUGGGCGUAAAGCGCGCGUAGGCGGUUACUCAAGUCGGAUGUGAAAGCCCUCGGCUUAACUGAGGAAGUGCACCCGAAACUGAGUAGCUAGAGUACUAAAGAGGGUCGCGGAAUUCCCGGUGUAGAGGUGAAAUUCGUAGAUAUCGGGAGGAACACCGGUGGCGAAGGCGGCGACCUGGGUAGAUACUGACGCUGAGGCGCGAAAGCCAGGGGAGCAAACGGG
This 253-nucleotide ribosomal RNA is filed under the name uncultured bacterium. RNAcentral's name for it is "partial 16S ribosomal RNA". It matches the Rfam family "Bacterial small subunit ribosomal RNA", at positions 524 to 776 of the family's 1533-position model. The record is from RNAcentral.